UACGUAGGCAGCAAGCGUUGUUCGGAAUUACUGGGCGUAAAGAGUGUGUAGGCGGUGCUCUAAGUCUGGUGUGAAAUCUCCCGGCUCAACUGGGAGGGUGCGCCGGAAACUGGAGUGCUCGAGUGUGGGAGAGGUAAGCGGAAUUCCUGGUGUAGCGGUGAAAUGCGUAGAUAUCAGGAGGAACACCUGUGGUGUAGGCAGCUUACUGGACCAUGACUGACGCUGAGACACGAAAGCGUGGGUAGCAAACAGG
This 253-nucleotide ribosomal RNA is filed under the name uncultured bacterium. RNAcentral describes it as "partial 16S ribosomal RNA". It matches the Rfam family "Bacterial small subunit ribosomal RNA", at positions 524 to 776 of the family's 1533-position model. The record is from RNAcentral.